GACGAACGCUGGCGGCGUGCUUAACACAUGCAAGUCGAACGGUAAGGCCCCAGCUUGCUGGGGUACACGAGUGGCGAACGGGUGAGUAACACGUGGGUGACCUGCCCCGCACUUCGGGAUAAGCCUGGGAAACUGGGUCUAAUACCGGAUAGGACCGCACCGUGAGGGGGUGGUGGAAAGUUUUUCGGUGUGGGAUGGGCCCGCGGCCUAUCAGCUUGUUGGUGGGGGAAUGGCCUACCAAGGCGGCGACGGGUAGCCGGCCUGAGAGGGUGGACGGCCACAUUGGUGCUGCGGCACCGCCCAGACUCCUACGGGAGGCAGCAGUGGUGAAUAUUGCACAAUGGGCGGAAGCCUGAUGCAGCGACGCCGCGUGGGGGAUGACGGCCUUCGGGUUGUAAUCUCCUUCCACCAUCGACGAAGGUUUUCUGACGGUAGAUGGAGAAGAAGCACCGGCUAACUACGUG
RNAcentral lists this ribosomal RNA (464 nucleotides) under uncultured bacterium. Its description in RNAcentral is "partial 16S ribosomal RNA". It matches the Rfam family "Bacterial small subunit ribosomal RNA", at positions 28 to 507 of the family's 1533-position model. The record is from RNAcentral.